AGGGAACACCCUCCUCUGACUGACAAAUAUGACUCCUAAACCAGGAAAGCAGUGAGUGACUGAGAAAGAAGGAGUUGCCAGGCUGCCACCUGCUAAAGAAGAGGAUGUGUCACCCAUAACUGCCGCUGGAAUUUCUCCCCGGGCACAGGAACACAGUAGAUUACAGCUCCCAGCUUUCCUUGCAGCUGGCCAUGGCCAUGUGACUGAAUUCCAGGCACUGUGAGCGGAGGUGAUGUGCCCCACUUCUGGGGCAAAGCCCUUAACUCCCCUCCCCACCCCAAACCCAUGCCAUCCAUCCUCUUCUUCCUAUUGUUAGCCCGAAGCCCUUAGGCAAGUGAUCCUGGAAGCCAAAUGUUGAGGUUGAUGAAACCACAAUAUGGAAGAAGCCCGUUUACCAAAUUACCACUUGGAGGAAAUCUGCCUGCAGUUCAAGAAUACCCAUUUUGGAUUUCACACCAGGGAGGAAUAAACCAUAACUGAGUUAAGGCAGUAAGAUUUGAGGA
Molecule: long non-coding RNA, 503 nt
Organism: Orcinus orca (killer whale)
Lineage: Eukaryota; Metazoa; Chordata; Mammalia; Artiodactyla; Delphinidae
Exons: 3
Source: RefSeq, a predicted model, not a curated record